GCGCUCACUUCGGCAGCACAUAUACUAAAAUUGGAACGAUACAGAGAAGAUUAGCACGGCCCCUGCGCAAGGAUGACAGGCAAAUUUGUGAAGCGCUCCAUAUUAAA
Molecule: small nuclear RNA, 107 nt
Filed under: Callithrix jacchus (white-tufted-ear marmoset)
Lineage: Eukaryota; Metazoa; Chordata; Mammalia; Primates; Cebidae
Source: RNAcentral